AUUGAACGCUGGCGGCAUGCUUUACACAUGCAAGUCGAACGGUAACAGGCCGCAAGGUGCUGACGAGUGGCGAACGGGUGAGUAAUGCAUCGGAACGUGCCCAGUCGUGGGGGAUAACUACUCGAAAGAGUAGCUAAUACCGCAUACGAUCUAUGGAUGAAGGCGGGGGACCGUAAGGCCUCGCGCGAUUGGAGCGGCCGAUGUCAGAUUAGGUAGUUGGUGGGGUAAAGGCUCACCAAGCCAACGAUCUGUAGCUGGUCUGAGAGGACGACCAGCCACACUGGGACUGAGACACGGCCCAGACUCCUACGGGAGGCAGCAGUGGGGAAUUUUGGACAAUGGGCGCAAGCCUGAUCCAGCAAUGCCGCGUGCAGGAAGGAGGCCUUCGGGUUGUAAACUGCUUUUGUACGGAACGAAACGGCUCUGGUUAAUACCCGGGGCUAAUGACGGUACCGUAAGAAUAAGCACCGGCUAACUACGUG
Molecule: ribosomal RNA, 482 nt
Filed under: uncultured bacterium
Lineage: Bacteria
Description: partial 16S ribosomal RNA
Rfam family: Bacterial small subunit ribosomal RNA
Source: RNAcentral